GUGCCAGCAGCCGCGGUAAUACAGAGGGUGCGAGCGUUAAUCGGAUUUACUGGGCGUAAAGCGUGCGUAGGCGGCUUUUUAAGUCGGAUGUGAAAUCCCCGAGCUUAACUUGGGAAUUGCAUUCGAUACUGGGAAGCUAGAGUAUGGGAGAGGAUGGUAGAAUUCCAGGUGUAGCGGUGAAAUGCGUAGAGAUCUGGAGGAAUACCGAUGGCGAAGGCAGCCAUCUGGCCUAAUACUGACGCUGAGGUACGAAAGCAUGGGGAGCAAACAGGAUUAGAUACCCUGGUAGUCC
RNAcentral lists this ribosomal RNA (292 nucleotides) under uncultured microorganism. RNAcentral describes it as "partial 16S ribosomal RNA". It matches the Rfam family "Bacterial small subunit ribosomal RNA", at positions 505 to 796 of the family's 1533-position model. The record is from RNAcentral.